RNAcentral lists this long non-coding RNA (8009 nucleotides) under Phoenix dactylifera (date palm). RNAcentral describes it as "long non-coding RNA (PDAC_LNC002942)". Lineage: Eukaryota; Viridiplantae; Streptophyta; Magnoliopsida; Arecales; Arecaceae. The record is from RNAcentral.
GGGUUUCUCCAAUGAUCAGAACCUAUUUUAGAUUUUCAGUAUAUGUAGUUUUGCACAGCUUCAUUCAUGUGCUUUUCUUUAUAAAUUUCAAUCAAUCUACUAAAUUAGAAAAUUUCCCUAUUUGGAACUUUGAUUUGUUUAACAUCCUUGUCACUUAUCUAAAGAAAUUUCAUGNNNNNNNNNNNNNNNNNNNNNNUUGCUCCCAUAGAUUCUUCGGGAGAAAGUUCAACAACGUAUACUUUCUAUUAGAUAUCCUGUUGUCACAAUAAGAAUCCUGGGAUGAAUCAUCGUUGAUGUAGACAAAGCGUUUCAUCAUCGAUUGAGAAGCAUUCCUCUCAAUAAUCACACAUAUCCGCCAGGCGGCGGCCGGAGACGAUCUCCUCGCCGGAUGAGAGGUCUCCGGAGAACGAACCCUCGCCGAUCCGCGUAGCAUAUCUUUCCACUAAUGCAAAGUGGCUUUCAUGGGAUUUUUAAGAAAUGACUCAAAUGCUGCUCUAUCAACUUUUCAAACUUUGUCUUUCAUAUUGUUAGGCAGAAAGUUGGCUUUAACUAAUACAAAAUAACCAUUCCCAACAUUAUGAAACAACAUACAGUACCAUGUCAACUGGCUGGUCUGAGUUUCUUAACCAAUAACACCAAUAUUCGAAGUAGAAAGCAUGGCAUGCCAAACUAAAACAACCAUGUUAUACAAUUCUUAUUAAGAGAAGUCUUACUUGCAAAAUAAUAAGAAAACAUGUGGAUUCUGUACAUUUUUAAGCAAUCCUGUGUCUUUUAAUCUACUUAAUGUAUUGCAUGUCGUCACAAAAUCAAUUAGGUCACAUAAAUCUGGUGCAUAUAUAAGAUAGAUAAGAAAAGUGGGGACCAUAGCAAGAAAACACCACCACAAGAUUUGAAUGAAUCCUUUGUUCGUUAAGAAGAACAAACGUAAAAAUCAUGGCCAUUUAACAAGUAAACUGAUUUGAUGUUUUGGGAGUGCUACCAAAAGUUCACGAUCAUUAAUGAAACCAUUAACAAGAAAGAGUGAAAAAGAACCGUACAUGUUUUCGAAUGCCCUCCUUUACAACCCAAACUUCUUUCUCAUUUGCUUGCUUGUCAGAAAGAUAUCUGUUGUAGUCAUCCCAGGCCUCUUUCGUUGCAGAGACCGCAAAUAUAAAGAUAAGCGGACCCCAUGUACUUGCUGGGUUUACAGGAGUAAUAAGUGACCACAGUUGAAGGCAUGCAAUCAGCAAAAAGUACUGAUUCAUGAAACGGCUGAAAAACAAAAAAAUAAAAGAUAGUGAGGUCCCAAGAAUAUGCUGAAAGACAUUUACUGUAAAGCCUGCUGUGAUAUUGAACACACUAAAAGCCUGAUCACUUCCACCAUGCACAUGAGAUACUAUAUCAAUAUCAUACCAGGAGAGAUUCAUAUAAAUCUAUCAAUAUUGAGAAUAAAUAUGUCAUAAUGAGAAAAAGAUCCAUGUCAAGAAGAAUGCCAAGUUUUUGUUAAGAUAUCUUCAAAAUAAACUAACUUCGCAUUGAAAAAAAAAGUUACAUGAUUAAAUAGAAUCAUGCAUCAUAGAAGAAGGCACAUGUUUAAGAUAUCCUCCAGCAAAUGGCUAGGUGGACUGCCACGAGCUCUACUACAUCAGUAGAAGAGAAUCUUCCUUCAUCAAUUGUUGGUAACUCCUUUCUCCAAGAUAUACUUUUUAAACCCUCUUGGGGACCCUUAGUGCAGCCCCUAGAAUCGAUCCCUUUUUAAGGUGCAUGCAACCUAUGUCUGCGCAGUUCAGUUGAAAGCAAAAGCCUCUGAAAGGACUAGAGCACAUGCAACUUCAAUCAUAUUAACUAAUGGCUAAAGUAUUUUAUGUUAUGCAGGAUUAUCAUCAGAAAAUUUAGUGCUUCCCACAUCAUUACAAGAAUCUUUCUUUUAUCAUUCUCCUGGAAGGUCAGAUUUUUUUUCGGUUGACUACUUGUGUACGUAAGGAAGAAAAAAUUAGUCUAAACUCUAAAUGCAGUGUUUCACUUAGCAAAAGCACAAUUUGUACGCUUAUGAUAAUGCAUAAGCACGUGAUUUCUCUUAAAUUCAACUUCCCCCUUCGAAGUCAUGUUAAAAUAUGCUAUGAGAAAGCUCUAGUCAGAUAGUGGAAAUCAUCACCAUUCUAUAGUCUUGAGAUAAUGUCGAGAAAGAAUAGCCAACAUGGUGGUAUUGAACAUAUUGAUACUCAUCACUAUAAGCUACAACAUGAAGAUAUAGGUUUUGGAGUACGUCUUGAUGCAUCUUCACACCAAGAAGUCAGCAAAUCACACAAUAGACUAAAGAAAGGGAGGUGACAAGAAUAGACAGGGACCAAAGGGUAGUAGGCACAAACAUAAGUAAACAAUCAAGCACUGAAAGAAAGCAUGUUUGCAGGUUGCAACUUUAUGUGUAUGCUCAUACAUGCAUGCAUAUAGGUCAAUUUAAUAAGUAAAUAAAUAAAAUGCUGUAAGUAGCAAAUAUAAUGAAAACCAUGCAUCAAACUCAUGAUAAUCACAAUUGCUAACAAUGAAGAUUGAUGCUUUCCAUCUUAACAGUCAUUAAUGAUGUCUAGAUAAAGGUGACAUAUGUUAACAUACCAAAGAUAUAAGUAGUUUUGUUUGCUAAAGAUUCUUUUAGUAACUCAUAGAAUGACAGCAACAUAAAAAAUAAAAAGAAAAAGGGAAAUGAAACUCUUAAUACUUUUUGAGAGAGACAUUAAAACAAUGUUAGUUACUUUUCAAAAAUCAGAUGCUAAUUCCAAAAUUACCUUACAUUAUGAACUUGGCCUCACUUCCACUGAGAUAUGCACAAACCGCCAAUCACAUUGCUCCAAGUUGCCUAACUAUCUAAUGUGGUUCAUGAUAUGUAAAGUAUACUGACAAGGCAAGAGAUGUUCAGGUAUACAACAACAUGACCAAGACCAAGCUGAGAAUACUGAAUGGGAUCUUUAAAGCAAUGACUGAUGUUCACAUCUAUGAAGAAGCAUAAUGGAGAAGAGCAAAUAUGCUUCUUUUGAUGUGACAACCACAAACUAGAGGGUUUGCAAAAACUCAAAUGGAUGACAAGAACAUAGACGACUCCAAGGAUUUGGAUGAAACCAGAUGCUACACACGAAGGAAAGUACCUUUAAGACCCAAGAGUUAGCAAAAAUAAUCCUCUUCAUCACAAACUAAUAUAAAGAAAUACUACCUUGAGAUGCAAAAAUAUAAUAAUCAUACUACACAUAGCAUUCAACUUAGCACUUAGGUAUUUUCUUGCAAAUUUUGAACUCCAUAGUCACGGUAUGGUUAAAAGUCAACAUGCGCAAAAUUACUAUUAUACUUAAGCAUGAUGUUGUAACUAUGACCAUAUCCAUAACUAUGGUCAUCAAGACUUGUCUCCGACUAUUUGCAUUUGGCUUCUAUGAAUCCUCAUUUGUCUAUCAUUUCUAUUAAGGGCUAACUGUAUUUUUAUUGCAAGCUUUUCAUUUUACCUCUAACAAUUUCCAACAUGUUACCUUAGGUCCUCCCUUCCUCUUUCGGGAUAUUUUCACAGCAUCGCUUCCUAUUGGAGCCUCCUUGGAUCUUCAUAGCACAUGCCCAUAUCAUCAAAUUCAACCCUACUACUUCAUCUUUAAUAUACCAACUCCCCGCUCUAUCCUUUAUAGUUUCACCACACAGCCACCCCAACAUUCUCCUCUGUGUUGCAUUCAUCGUGUUUGCUAGGAUCCUCUCCAUUAACCAACAUUAUAAGCCACAGAGCAUAGAAGGCCUUGUUGUCAUUUUAUAAAAAUCUUCAUGAAGUUGCCAAGAAACGCAUCAAUAAUAUAUUACCUAAAAUUGCCUCUAAUUUCAUCCAUAAAACUCCUAAUAUAGAUGUUUUUAUCCAUCUCACCAGUUUUCUAUAUUAGAUCCUACAUAAUGAAACUAACCUAAUCGUGGGAUCUCCUAUCCAUCAGUUUUGGUUAAGCACUUGAUUAUCAUAUUUCAUCUUCAAGUUCACUGCGAUUGUACUUCAUUUAGUCUAUCUUUCAUUCUUCUAAUCUUGGGACAUCCUCUUAGGCCUCCUCCAUAGUUCCUUAGUAGUUAAUCUUGUAAUCUCUAAAUCAAUCAACAUAAUAUCACCUACAAAUCCAAUUUAAUGUUGAUGGCAGAUACAACUAUCAAGAUGCUAAAAAUAUUAAACUCAAUUUAUAGUUGCAAGUAAAUACAUUAUCAAACCAGUAAAAUAUCUUGAUUGUUGUACUACGGACCUAGGUUCAAAUCUCACCUCCAUAAGAUUUGGGGCAAGGCUCGCCAAAUCAGUACCAGAGGUCAUACCAAACAGUGACUAAUUCGGUAUAGUACCGAUACUUACCGUACAGACCCAAGGUGUAUCAGAACUAAGGGGAGGGAGAGGGAGAGAGGAGAGAGGAGAGAGGAAGAAGGAGAGGGAGGAGAAAAGAGAGGAAGGAGAAAGAGGGCGGUGAAGCCACUGGGGUCGUCAUCAUCUUCGAGGGAGUGAAAGAAAGGAGAAAGAGAGAGGAGGGUGAAGCCGCCAACAAGAUCAUUGUCAUCUUUGAGAGAGAGAGAGAGAGGAGAAAGAGUGAACUAUCAGGGUCAUCAUUGCUGGAAGAGAGAGAGGAGAGAAUGCGAGAGGGAGAGAGAGAGGGCAACUCAUGUACCUAUGAUCAUUGUUAGAGGCAACGGUGGCGCGAAGGGGGAGGGGGGUCGAAAGCCUAAACUAAACGUGAGAGCGAGAGAGAGUGUGUGAUUGGAGGAUGAGGCAACUCAAGAUUGUAACUAACGGGGUACAAAUGCAGCGUACAGCUCGAACUACCCAGAACCGAGCAAAACCAGGCAGUUCUAGGGGUGCAAAUAGGUCGGGUCUUGAGUGACCCCGACUCGAUCUGGUUUCUUGUUCGGAUCCUAAUUUUGGACCCAGAUCCGACCCAAUUGAAGACCGAGUUGGGUCGGGUCGGAUCUACGGCUAUAAUUUUUGAUCCAACGGAUUAUUCAGGUCGGAUCGGGUCCAUAUAUAACCUAGACCCGACCCAAAAAAUUCAGGUCCGGGUCGGGCCUGGGUUUGGGUUCGAGUCGGGUCCGAACUUGCUGUUUUAAUUUAUGAAUGAAGAGAAGGUGACAUGACAUUCCGCCACCUGUCAUAUGACAAGAGAGAGUCGAUCUGGUAAUUUAAUUUAUGAACAGCAUAUGCCAUGUACCAGAUGAUGGGUCAAACUUGCAUAGCCGUCCCAUUAUUAUUAAGAGACUUGCUUUAAUUUAUGAAUGAAGGCAAAGUGACAUGACAUUCCUCCUCACUCUGGACCUGCUUUAAUUUAUGAACAGCCUAUGCCAUGUACCAUAUGAUGGGUCCGGACUUGCAUAGCCGUCCCAUCAUCAUUAAGGGCAAUAUGACAUUCCGCCACCUGUCAUAUGACGAUCAGUUGUUGCCCUAGGGAGUGGGGAGGCGUGAUCUAGGGCUCGGGAUCAGUACUGUUGUACCCAUAAAAAAACACAUUGGCAUUCUUUGAGCUGUGAGACAAUUCAAAUUCCUUCUCGAAUACUAAGUCAAAUGAAAUUUGGGCAUAGUUCUCUGCAGAGAGAGUUCCAAGGACCAGCUUCUGAUCAUUGAAUUCCACAAAGAUCGGCACAUUUCACAAAGAUCCAAAUUCAUGAGCACAAGAUUCACAUCAAUCGUAAUGCUUAAGAGAAGGGCGGAAAGAAGAAGAAUUGUAUUGAAGUGAUUUCCGCGAAAUGAUCAAAACGAGCGACAUGACAUUCCCCCAUCCUUUUCUGCUUUUCUUUUUUUUACCUUUUUUUAAUAAAAAAUAUUUUUAUCUUGGUUUUUAUGGGUAGACUGUAAGCCUGCAGGCUGCGGGCCUAAAUGGGUAAUUCGGAUUUGGGUCGGGUCGAAUCGAGUUGCUGGGUAAGUGAUCCAAAAUUGACUCAAAAAAAAACAGGUCGGAUCAGGCCGGGUCGGGUUCGGGUCGGGUCAAGAUUCGGUAAACCCAGACCCAACCCGAAAAAUAGGAUAGAUCCAAUUUUAGGACCCGAGCCGGCCCUACGGGUCCUCCAAUUCGGGUCGGGUCUAAGCGGGUCGCGUCACUGGUCAACCUAAUCCAUUUACAGCCUUAGGCGGUUCUACUCGAUUCGGAUAAGGUUGGUUCAAGGCAUGUUCCAAACUAAACCUGCAUCUCAACACAAUUUCCACCUGGAAUAGGUCCCUAUGCCCAGAAUUAGGUGGUUCAAGAUGAGGCAACCAAUUGGUUUGGGAGGUUAGGAGUAUUGGAGAAGGCCUAUCUCCCCUCAUGUAGCCCAUUGCUUGUGGCCUCUUCUACCCUGAAAGGAAAAAGGUGAAAGGAUUGUGACACUAGAAUAUCCUUGAUUCUUAAAUUCAUUCCCAAUAAUUCAAUGAGAAUACUUCUCCUACAUUAUUGCACAAUUUUCAAUAGUUGUUGAUCAUGAUGAACCGCUUUAUCAGUGCUUUGACAUACAAAUCACUUGUUCUAGACUACAAUGUCAACUUGCAUAGAGAUCGCUGAUUAAGAGACUUGCCACAUUAUAACAUUAUGUGUUGGGGUUGAUUUAAAAAAUAAAAAAAUGGAUACAAGCCAAUAUACGAGGGGGGAAAUUAACUUAUUGAUAUUGAAAGAGGCCAUAGUCCAGUAAGACUACAAUAUGGUCAUGAUGUUGAUCAAUAAAGAAAGUACAAGAUAUGCAAUGGAAGCUGUAAAAAAGAGCAUGAUAAAGAUCGCAUUAUCACAUUAGAGGAAGCUUAAAAGGUGCACACAAAAAAUAAAUAGACAAGAAAUCAAAGAGUUAUCGCACGCCCAGUGACCACGUACAACUAAGACCAGUGAAGGUUAUCAUCUAAAGAGAAAUUAUUAUUUUUUUUCGAAGGGUCAAAAAGAGUAAGCGAGUGAGGGAGUGAGUGAAUAAUAAAGAUGAAUGAGAGCAGCUCAAAGUUUUUGUUUCAAAGAGUCCAAAAAAUAAGAGCACACAAACUAAUAAAUUCAUGUUGAAACUUUUGAUGAUAGAUUUAAUGAGCUAGUGUUAACAUUUGAGAUAGCUACUCCUACUAGGAAACAACAAGGAAAGCCAGGUGCCAGCUUUCACCCAAAGCAAAAGGUGUAUGCACAAAGAAAAGGAUUAAUCAAAUAAGAGUUCAAAAUCUCAUAAAGUCAGAAUGUUUGAUAUCAAUAAUGCUUAAUCUGAAAUUGAUAACACAUGCAAAAGAAAGUCUACAAUAUUAUAUUUUCUACUAGAAUAUAUAGAUACCACAAUUAUUACAAGUCUAACAUAAAUCAACACUUUAUAGUUGAACUACAAUUCAAUAAACAAAGCAAACCUGAAUUGCUCCCAUAGAUUCUUCGGGAGAAAGUUCAACAACGUAUACUUUCUAUUAGAUAUCCUGUUGUCACAAUAAGAAUCCUGGGAUGAAUCAUCGUUGAUGUAGACAAAGCGUUUCAUCAUCGAUUGAGAAGCAUUCCUCUCAAUAAUCACACAUAUCCGCCUUAAAAAAAAUAAACAUCGGCAUAAGAAUAGUUUCAUACUUCAUAAAUUUGCUCAAAAUAAUGAUUCUUUAGAGCGUUCCACAAUUCAAUAACCCAUUUCAUGUAAUUUCUUUCCCUCACAAUAACUUUUUAUUUGAAAAAUAUCAGAAUUUGUAAAUUAACACGAAUCAUGAUAAUUUGUGAUUUAAAUCAUUCCACGAUUUAAUUCCCCAUCUUAUGCUGCCCUUGGCACCUGAUGAGUUCAAUCUCCAACGUUCUUACGUAAAAAAUAAACAAAUAACGAUACAAUUUAAGGAAUUGAGCUUCAAGAAUGUGAUCCCCACAUCACAAAUGACGCUGUCGGUAAUAGGGAGGGGAUGUUUUCGCCAAUCCCACCGGCGACAAAGAAAGGGUGAAGCUACUCACCAGGCGGCGGCCGGAGACGAUCUCCUCGCCGGAUGAGAGGUCUCCGGAGAACGAACCCUCGCCGAUCCGCGGAGGGGAGAGUGGGGCCGAGGGUUCCGUGAGAAGGGGACCGAGAGAGAGGGGAGGGGGGGGCCGAGG